Molecule: transfer-messenger RNA, 356 nt
Filed under: Synergistaceae bacterium
Lineage: Bacteria; Thermotogati; Synergistota; Synergistia; Synergistales; Synergistaceae
Rfam family: transfer-messenger RNA
About the family: Bacterial tmRNA, also known as 10Sa RNA or SsrA, is named for its dual tRNA and mRNA-like properties. Its role is to liberate the mRNA from a stalled ribosome. To accomplish this part of the tmRNA is used as a reading frame that ends in a translation stop signal.
Source: RNAcentral
GGGGGCGACAGGUUUCGACAGCAUGACGGAAGGUCCGGAAGCGCGAGCCGAGGAUAGGGCAGCCUCGUAAAUCAGGCUCUAAAACAAUAAUUGCCAACGAAGAUUUCGCACUGGCUGCUUAGUUAAAGCAGUCACGUUCCCCGGGGGCUCGGUCGUUGGAACCCGGAAGGACGUCAGAAAGACGACUGGAAACGAAGCAGCGCCAUCCGGCUGCGUUUCGAGACUCUAGGGACAGCUGGGAAUCUCUGAUCCUGUUCGUGGGAGCGGAAAUUCCGAAAUCAAAGCACGAACUACGCUCGUAGUGCAUCCCGAUUGUCUCUUGCUGGACCGGAGUUCGAUUCUCCGCGCCUCCACCA